AGCGAACGCUGGCGGCAGGCCUAACUCAUGCAAGUCGAGCGCUCAUCUUCGGAUGGGAGCGGCGCACGGGUGAGUAACACGUGGGAACCUACCUUGAAGUAUGGAAUAACUGAGGGAAACUUCAGCUAAUACCGUAUACGCCCUACGGGGGAAAGAUUUAUCGCUUCAGGACGGGCCCGCGUUGGAUUAGCUGGUUGGUGAGGUAAUGGCUCACCAAGGCGACGAUCCAUAGCUGAUUUGAGAGAAUGAUCAGCCACACUGGGACUGAGACACGGCCCAGACUCCUACGGGAGGCAGCAGUGGGGAAUAUUGGACAAUGGGCGCAAGCCUGAUCCAGCCAUGCCGCGUGAGUGAUGAAGGCCUUCGGGUUGUAAAGCUCUUUCAGAUGGGACGAUGAUGACGGUACCAUCAGAAGAAGCCCCGGCUAACUUCGUGCCAGCAGCCGCGGUAAUACGAAGGGGGCUAGCGUUGUUCGGAAUUACUGGGCGUAAAGCGCGCGUAGGCGGCUUUGUCAGUCAGGGGUGAAAUCCCGGGGCUUAACCUCGGAACUGCCUUUGAUACUGCAAGGCUUGAGUCUGUGAGAGGAUGGUGGAAUACCCAGUGUAGAGGUGAAAUUCGU
RNAcentral lists this ribosomal RNA (619 nucleotides) under uncultured Alphaproteobacteria bacterium. RNAcentral describes it as "bacterial SSU rRNA". It matches the Rfam family "Bacterial small subunit ribosomal RNA", at positions 28 to 691 of the family's 1533-position model. Lineage: Bacteria; Pseudomonadati; Pseudomonadota; Alphaproteobacteria. The record is from RNAcentral.